This 922-nucleotide long non-coding RNA is filed under the name Marmota monax (woodchuck). Lineage: Eukaryota; Metazoa; Chordata; Mammalia; Rodentia; Sciuridae. The record is from RNAcentral.
UGGCAGCAGUGAAAUCCAAUAAGAAACGGCUCCUCCAGGUCGCCUGUCAGGUGGCCGCGCCCCGGUGUUCUUCACCUCUUCUAUAGUUUCCUGUGAUCUGCUUGACGCUAAUGGCGGCCGGCGUCGGGGAUGCUGCGGAUCUCUCCUUAAGAUGUCGCAGGAGUUAAGGGCGCGGUUUCACGGACUGCAGAAGAGGCAGGCAGGUGAAGAACACCGGGUCUGCCGCGAGGUGGCAGUGGAAUGUGGCGGAGAAGCCAGCAGGAGAGCGGGGAGCGAACCUGGAGGUCCUUGGUCCCUGCCUACCCCAACCAUCGAAUGUGCCUUGGUGUGUCAUUGCUUCUAGGCCUUUUCAGUCCACAGAGCUGGGAUGGAUACACACCCACACUUACUUGAAAUCACGCCUUGAUUCAAUACCUCCGGUUCCAUACCAGCUCUUCUUUGCCCAAACUCCCUGAGGUCAACUGAGCGAGAGUGGUUGCCUAAGUUUUCAGCCUCUUCGCUCCCCACUUCCCUCUUCAAAUAGCCCCACGUUGCUCACAUAUCUUAAGUAUAUGUACCUAUUUGAACCCAGAGCCUCCACUUUGACAUCAGACUACCCCAAUUUCAGGUGUGGCCCUGCCAGUCAAGAGUUUUGUGUUGUGGGUAAACCCAAGGUCUGUUCAAAAGGAUGAUAACCUCUACCUCCAGGGGGUGAUUAUGAGAAUAAAAUUUUGUGCACAAAAGCAAGCAUUUAUUCUGUGGCAGCAUUAUUAUUAUUAUUAUUGAACCUAUCUGUAAUGCUCCUGGUUUCUCCUUUUAAUCAAUGGAUACAGACUUCUCAGGCUCCAAGACCCAACUUGUUACAUCUCUCUGAUGGCUUUGCUGAUAACCUCCACAUGUUCUUCUCUCCCCUUCCUUGUCAUUACUUUAUCAUGAAUAUGUG